GUCCAAGUGGCGGAAUAGGCAGACGCGCCAGCUUGAGGUGCGGGUGCCCGGGAUAGGGCAUGGGGGUUCAAGUCCCCCCUUGGACA
RNAcentral lists this transfer RNA (86 nucleotides) under Bifidobacteriaceae bacterium. RNAcentral's name for it is "tRNA-Leu". It matches the Rfam family "tRNA". Rfam says of the family: Transfer RNA (tRNA) molecules are approximately 80 nucleotides in length. Their secondary structure includes four short double-helical elements and three loops (D, anti-codon, and T loops). Lineage: Bacteria; Bacillati; Actinomycetota; Actinomycetes; Bifidobacteriales; Bifidobacteriaceae. The record is from RNAcentral.